UACGUAGGGUGCGAGCGUUAAUCGGAAUUACUGGGCGUAAAGCGUGCGCAGGCGGUUAUAUAAGACAGAAGUGAAAUCCCCGGGCUCAACCCGGGACCUGCAUUUGUGACUGGAUAACUAGAAGACGGUAGAGGGGGGUGGAAUUCCGCGUGUAGCAGUGAAAUGCGUAGAUAUGCGGAGGAACACCGAUGGCGAAGGCAAUCCCCUGGACCUGUACUGACGCUCAUGCACGAAAGCGUGGGGAGCAAACAGGAUUAGAUCCCCUUGUAGUCCACGCCCUAAACGAUGUCAACUGGUUGUUGGGUCUUCACUGACUCAGUAACGAAGCUAACGCGUGAAGUUGACCGCCUGGGGAGUACGGCCGCAAGGUUG
Molecule: ribosomal RNA, 372 nt
Filed under: uncultured prokaryote
Description: bacterial SSU rRNA
Rfam family: Bacterial small subunit ribosomal RNA
Source: RNAcentral